This is a long non-coding RNA of Cannabis sativa, 789 nucleotides long. RefSeq lists it as uncharacterized. NCBI's taxonomy places the organism in Eukaryota, Viridiplantae, Streptophyta, Magnoliopsida, Rosales, Cannabaceae. The transcript has 2 exons. The record is from RefSeq and is a predicted model, not a curated record.
UCCAGUUUAUAUACAUAUAUUGGUAUUUGGUAUAUUAAGUGUGAUACAAUUAUAUUGUUAUUAUUAUUAUUAUUAUUAUUAUUAUUAUUAUUAUUAUUAUUAUUAUUAUUAUUAUCUUUUUGUUUCUUUUUUGUUGUGCGUGUGAGUGGGUGAGAAAAUGAUGAUAUAUAUGUAUAUAUUAAAUAGUUAGAUAAAUAAAUAGUGAGGCAUUAGAUUAGUUAGUUUAAAAUUUAAAAUUUAAAUCAGCAUAAUUUUAUCUGAUUAGUUAGAUUUUUAUUUUUAAAUUUAAACCUAUUAUACGAUAUGUUAUAUACGUAUAUACUCUAGAACUCUAGCAGCCAGAUAGUAUCGUAUUCAUUUAUUCUCACCAUCUCUCAACUUUUUUAUCCUCUCUAUUGCACCAAAUCAAUUGUUUUAAUCUUAAGAGCUUCGGGGUCAGCAAUCAACCGAUCAUCGUUCCGUGUCUUCGAAAUCUUCAGGGCCUAGAAGGUAUCGUAGGAGUUAAUUACAGCGGAGUUGAGAUAAGUAAGCAUGUAAGCUUUCGGUGACAAGUUGAGUCUUGGCAGCAUGGGGUGUAUCUCGUGUGAUCAUGUAACUGCGUGUGGUCUUGGCCAUCUUCCGCUGAAAGUUUUUUUUUUUAAUUUAUUAAACUUAUCGAGGAUGUUGUCGUUUAAAUUUUCUAUUACUUUUCCCUAAGUGGUAAUACUUUAUUUUCAACUGGGUACCCAUGUUUUGAAAAUUGUUAUUUUUUUUUAAUAAAGGCAACAUUAGUAUCUUAACGCCAGUUUA